AGCGAACGCUGGCGGCAUGCUUAACACAUGCAAGUCGCACGGUUGGGGGCAACCCUGGCAGUGGCGGACGGGUGAGUAACGCGUAGGGAUCUAUCCAGGGGUGGGGGACAACCGCGGGAAACUGCGGCUAAUACCGCAUGACGACGUCAUCCGGGAGGGUGAUGUCCAAAGCCUGCAAGGGCGCCUUUGGCGGAGCCUGCGUCCGAUUAGCUAGUUGGUGGGGUAAAGGCCUACCAAGGCGACGAUCGGUAGCUGGUCUGAGAGGAUGAUCAGCCAC
This 277-nucleotide ribosomal RNA is filed under the name uncultured bacterium. RNAcentral's name for it is "partial 16S ribosomal RNA". It matches the Rfam family "Bacterial small subunit ribosomal RNA", at positions 28 to 311 of the family's 1533-position model. The record is from RNAcentral.